Molecule: long non-coding RNA, 2937 nt
Organism: Monodelphis domestica (gray short-tailed opossum)
Lineage: Eukaryota; Metazoa; Chordata; Mammalia; Didelphimorphia; Didelphidae
Source: RefSeq, a predicted model, not a curated record
GGGUGGGGGGCUGGUACGAGGCAGGCUGCGGCUGCGGUUGCCUAGGAGACGUCGCCAGUAUCCGGCACUCAUCCUUCUCCGGCCCCCAGGUGAGGGCAGGCCUAGGGGAGAGAGACUAGGAGGAUGGCUGCGGAGGCGGGGAGGAACCCCGGAGCCUCAGAGAGGGGGCCCAACACACUGGAAGUCCCGGGCUCUGUGGCCUCGAAGCAAGAGGACCGCCACGGUGAUACUCAGGAGGAAAACUGCCAUCUGCCCAAGGCUUCAGCACCUCAAGCAGCUCCAUGGCCACGGAGAGGUUUGGAGUUCAUGGCCUCACCCUGUGACCAGAGAGGUCAGGAGAGGGGGGUGAUGAGGCGAAGGACCAAGGCGGAUGAGAUCUUCCUGCAUGAAGAGGCUUCCCAGUAAUGAGCUUCCUGCUCAUGGUGGAGAAGGCAGAGUGGUGCUGCCAGAUAACAUCAGGCAAGCAGCACCAAGAGCUACAUGGAGGAAAGACUGAAGCCUUUCCUGGGGCACAAGCAGAGCCGAGAGAGCCAAGCCAAACCCUGGGUGUGAAACAGGAACAAGCAAGUCGAGGAGAUGAUCUGGACCCAGAAAGUACAUGGAAGUUGGUGCUCAAGACAACUUGGUGGGUAUGAAUUCAAAGUUGAAAUCCACAAAACGUCCUAAACUCUACCCAGUGGAGCGGGACAACUCCCACUGCUAAUGCAAUCUACUCUCUCUUCUUUACCUAUUUGGGUUUGUUAGCAUUUGUCAAGUUCACUGAUAGAAAAGCAACCUUUUGUUAAGAAAGGAACAUGCAGAAAAUGCAUUGACUUCAGCCCUCUUCAGGGGUAGGGGGAGAAGGGAUGAUAAGAAACAGACAGGGCCACGUGUUCAGGUUCUGCCUUUGUCCUGCCUAGAAGAGACCAUGUAGUCCAAUCUCCUAAUCUUACAGAUGAGAAAACUGAGGCACGGGUGACUUGCCCAAUGGUAACUUUGUAAAACACAGGGGUUGGAAUAGAUGAUCUCUGAAAUUUCUUUUAGCUAGAACUUCUAUGCACUUAUUAUUAAAACACAUGCCAAACUGGGGACCUCCAGAAUUCUGGAAAGGACUACUUUGGACAGGGAGCUUUUCAGGGACUUCAGUCUCCAUCCCGAUCCAAUGCUAGCUUUCUAGAGCUUGAGCAGGCUCAUGCCUAGGGCUCAGGACUUCAACCAAUCCAAGUCUAAAAGAAUCUUCCUAGAUGCAGCAGGAGUUGGCAACCCCAUACCAUCGCUCAAGGAAAACAAGACCCCUGAGUUCAUGUGGUCAUCGCUUUCCCUUCUUCCUAUGCCAUCUGGACAUGACCAAGAUGGGCAUUCGUUAGGAAGCCUUUAAUCGGUUUGGGGGGGCCACUAUUCAUCCUCCACCUUUUUCCUCGUCCUCUUGAUCUCUUGUAUUGUCUUUCUGAAGCAUUAGGGAGAGUUUGUCAUCAAUGAUGCCACCAAAGUCUUGGUGGACCAACAGCAAGACGGGAUUCACAUGUAUCCCCGGAGAGCCAGAAUAGUAGGAAUAGGAAGGAGGGAAGGAGCAUAUUCAAGUACACCCCCUGCUCGGAAAGGACUCACACCAGCAUACUAAGGCUUAGAGAAGGUAGGCAAUGCUAGACUCCAUUCUUUGACUGAAGUAGAAACUUUGUUGUUAACAAGAAAAAACUUCUUGAUACAAACUAGAACAACCUCUUAGGAAAGGUGGUUGCCCUCAGAUGUAACAGAUGGAACUGCUUGGGAUGUACAAGGUAAGGUUUUGCCUCCAAGUCCCAGGGAAUGAGUUAGGGGGCUGCUAAAAAGGGAACGGGCAAUUUUUUGUCCUGGGUGUCCAGGAGGAGCUGGAAGAACACUAUCAAGAAGACUCCUGCAGAGUGUGUAGUAUGGUGCUUAAUAAAUACUUGCUGCCUGACUCUGUGCUAGGCGCUGCUCCUUUGCAUCUCUUUUACUCCAUCAGUUUCUCAUUAUGCCUCUCAGGCUAGGGGAUGGAGCACCUGGUCCCUCUCCUUUCAUCUUCUCCCUGUUCUAAGAGCUGUCUUUAAUGAUCUUCCUCCUCUUGGCCCACACUGGACCUGCAGUGCGAAUUCCUUUGUGAUCAUUGACCUUGGAGGCUUGCUAAGACUCGUCUUUCCUUUCCAUCUUUUAAAGCUAUUUGAACUGUAAAGUGGUGGGGUCCUGUGUCUGAUGAAGAAGCCCCCGGUGGGAAGGAAGAGGGCCCUCAUUUAGAGGUGGCUGCCAUCUUCUUUCCAGGAAUGUGUGUGUGAGUGCUAAAGGUUAUUUCUCAAAAGGAAUGUUUAAUUUCAGGAAGUUCUUUUCCAUCCAUUUAGCCAUUUGUGUUGGGAAAGACUGAAGGGGGACAGCAGCAAUUGAGGUGGAAAGAUAGUGUCAUGGAAACAAUGAACCCAAACUUGGGCCGACCUUGAGAGAUGGUGGAGGAUAGAAGGGCCUGGGGCACCAUGGUCCAUGGGGUCAUGCCUGGGCAACAGACAACACAACAAAAAACUGUGCCAGGAGUUUCUCCUGGAAGGUGCUCUGUUCACGAAUGCUCAUGAAUUCCCCUUCCCCUUUGAGGUGCCAUCUUUUUUACUGAGAUCUAGACCACCAAUCUAUCGGCCAGAGGUAAGAAGUGCAAGGAAGGGGCAAACCCCAGUGCCUUCUAGUAGGAUGCACUAUAGCACUAGCGAUAUGAUUCUUCCAGCGAAUAUAACUAUGGCCUGAGCAAAAGAGGUGGCAAAGUGACUUUCCAAGAAACAGAACAUUGAGAGGAACCUUAGAAUCCAAAGUUUGUAGGCAAGGUUAGAUGUUCGCAGGUGCUUCAAUCACCCUUGUGUGAUGGAGUGGCUGCGUCCUUGCAUCUCGCAUGUAGGCUUGUUGAUAUUUUGCCUGAAGCGUGAUGCCAAAAUGGAACAGAGCUCUCCAGACUGUUUGGCC